AGCAGGAGGCCUGGGCCUAUGCUGCACAGCAAAAGGCCUGUGUGCUUGUAGUGCGCUGGUCGGCACACUGCCACAUUGGGCAGUGCACCACUGUCGCCUCGGGCGAUGUGCCACCAUAGCUGUGGAGGAGGCCCUCCUCUCUUAUUUUUCGUGCCGAGCAUCUUUUUCUCCUCUCUCUUCAUCGAAUUUUGCCACUUGGUGAGAAUUCGACUGUUCA
RNAcentral lists this long non-coding RNA (217 nucleotides) under Carica papaya (papaya). RNAcentral's name for it is "long non-coding RNA (CPAP_LNC010219)". The record is from RNAcentral. Lineage: Eukaryota; Viridiplantae; Streptophyta; Magnoliopsida; Brassicales; Caricaceae.